UUAUUUUUCUUUACAUUGUUACAUGCCCGAUCACAUCUGAUUUUGGAAGCUAAGCAGGGUCUGACUUGGCUGACAUUUGGGAUACGGCUGAAAAGCAAA
RNAcentral lists this ribosomal RNA (99 nucleotides) under Parus major (Great Tit). Lineage: Eukaryota; Metazoa; Chordata; Aves; Passeriformes; Paridae. The record is from RNAcentral.